Molecule: ribosomal RNA, 193 nt
Filed under: Steinernema ceratophorum
Lineage: Eukaryota; Metazoa; Nematoda; Chromadorea; Rhabditida; Steinernematidae
Description: partial 18S ribosomal RNA
Rfam family: Eukaryotic small subunit ribosomal RNA
Source: RNAcentral
UUGAUUACGUCCCUGCCCUUUGUACACACCGCCCGUCGCUGCCCGGAACUGAGUUGAUUCGAGAAAAGCGGAGAUUGAGGCUUUGUGCUUUUUCGGAAGUGCAUUGUUACGAGAACCGCGUUAAUCGAAACGGCUUGAACCGGGCAGAAGCCGUAACAAGGUUUCCGUAGUGAACCUGCGGAAGGAUCAUUAU